RNAcentral lists this unclassified non-coding RNA (305 nucleotides) under plant metagenome. RNAcentral's name for it is "partial contains 5.8S ribosomal RNA, internal transcribed spacer 2, and large subunit ribosomal RNA". The stretch from base 1 to 105 matches the Rfam family "5.8S ribosomal RNA", at positions 50 to 154 of the family's 154-position model. The record is from RNAcentral.
GAAAUGCGAUAAGUAAUGUGAAUUGCAGAAUUCAGUGAAUCAUCGAAUCUUUGAACGCACAUUGCGCCCGCCAGUAUUCUGGCGGGCAUGCCUGUUCGAGCGUCAUUUCAACCAUCAAGCCCCGGGCUUGUGUUGGGGACCUGCGGCUGCCGCAGGCCCUGAAAACCAGUGGCGGGCUCGCUGUCACACCGAGCGUAGUAGAUUCUCAUCUCGCUCAGGGCGUGCUGCGGGUUCCGGCCGUAAAACAGCCUUAUUUUACCCAAGGUUGACCUCGGAUCAGGUAGGAAAACCCGCUGAACUUAAGC